Molecule: ribosomal RNA, 254 nt
Filed under: uncultured bacterium
Lineage: Bacteria
Description: partial 16S ribosomal RNA
Rfam family: Bacterial small subunit ribosomal RNA
Source: RNAcentral
UACGUAGGGACCGAGCGUUGUCCGGAAUCAUUGGGCGUAAAGAGCGUGUAGGCGGCCACUUAAGUCCUGCGUGAAAUCUUGCGGCUCAACCGCAAGCGGUCGUGGGAAACUGGGUGGCUAGAGUGCGGGGAGAGGAGAGUGGAAUUCCUGAGUGAGGUGGUGAAUGCGCAGAUAUCAGGAAGAACACCCGUGGCGAAGGCGGCUCUCUGGACCGAUACUGACGCUGAGGCGCGAAAGCGUGGGGAGCAAACAGG